CUUUGUCACAGUUUGUAAGUGGCUGAAAAAGUCUCAUUUUAAACGUUAGGAAACGGAUUGGUCGCCUGCUGCCGUAAAAUCAGUGACGAAGACGGAAAUGAAAAGUUUUAAAAUUUCAGGUGGAUAUGAGCCUUUGAGGAAUCUUUGAAAAUCACUUAAAACUUGAGAAGGGUGAGGGGAACAGCAGACCUUCGACAUCUAUCCCCACCUGGGACCAGGACACACGCAUUUCUGUGGUGAUCGAUGGAGACGAUGGCAGUAAUGGCCUUAACAGCCAAGCAUGGAGGGAGAUCACUGGCCAUCGAUCCGAGCAGCUGUGGGACCGCUGUAUGUCCAAGUUAAAGGUCAGUCUCUUAUUGGACAGGACAUCUUCCUGGGAUUGCGGAGUGGUUUUCAGACUGUCAAAUCCAGCAUGUUCCUUUGCACCUCAAAUCAUGGCAGCACAGAGCAAAGUGUCCUUGAAACAUAUGCUCUGUCCGUAAUUAAAGGGGAGCUCAAGAAAGGCCCAAAGUAGCUAGAAACAUAGUCGAUGUUUGUCGAUGCUGCACUUCUUACCCAGUUCAAGACAUAUCAGUCGUACAAUGUGAUCACCAUGACGUAAUAUUUGGGGGAGAAUCAGCCAAAUAAAACAUGAUGGUGUAAUAAAAUCA
Long non-coding RNA from Scatophagus argus, 650 nucleotides. RefSeq lists it as uncharacterized. NCBI's taxonomy places the organism in Eukaryota, Metazoa, Chordata, Actinopteri, Scatophagidae. The transcript has 3 exons. The record is from RefSeq and is a predicted model, not a curated record.